AUACGUAGGUGACAAGCGUUAUCCGGAUUUACUGGGCGUAAAGGGCGUGUAGGCGGUCUUGUAAGCUUGGCGUGAAAGACCACGGCUCAACCGUGGGAUUGCGUUGAGAACUGCGAGGCUUGAGUGACGGAGAGGGAGCUAGAAUUCCUGGUGUAGGGGUGGAAUCUGUAGAGAUCAGGAAGAAUACCAAUGGCGAAGGCAAGCUCCUGGCCGAUGACUGACGCUGAGGUGCGAAAGUGUGGGGAUCAAACAGGAUUAGAUACCCUGGUAGUCCACACUGUAAACGAUGUGCACUAGGUGCUGGUACGGAUGUAUCAGUGCCGUAGCUAACGUGAUAAGUGCACCGCCUGGGGAGUAUGCUCGCAAGGUUGAAACUCAAAGGAAUUGACGGGG
Molecule: ribosomal RNA, 393 nt
Filed under: uncultured bacterium
Lineage: Bacteria
Description: partial 16S ribosomal RNA
Rfam family: Bacterial small subunit ribosomal RNA
Source: RNAcentral